RNAcentral lists this microRNA precursor (96 nucleotides) under Aotus nancymaae (Ma's night monkey). RNAcentral's name for it is "miRNA (ENSANAG00000009298.1)". Lineage: Eukaryota; Metazoa; Chordata; Mammalia; Primates; Aotidae. The record is from RNAcentral.
AGGUGGGAGGAGUUCUUGAGCCCAGGAGGUGGAGGUUGCAGUGAGCUGAGAUCACGCCACUGCACUCCAGCCUGGGCAAUGUAGUGAGACCCUGUC